CCUUCUCAAAGCUGAGUCACCUCACAGGAUAUGGAGAGAUGGAUCUGCCUCCUCUGGCUAGAUGCAUUUGGAGGUAAACUGGCUUCACAAAAGCCUCACCUUUCUUUGGCUUUGACAAGGCUGGCAACAGGUAGACGUAAAGAAUGGAAAUGAAGGUUACUUCUUGUUGAUGCUUAUGCUUAUGGAUUAUUAUGACUAAUGAUGCCUAAACAAUGUUGUAUUCCUCUUCUUUUCCCUUUUUUUUACUCUCAUUGUUAGAUGCUGAUGAAGUUAUCAUGAACUAUUCAGCAAAGCCAAGGCUUGAGGAAGGAAGCCAACACGUCACUGUAUCCAUGCACAAGAAGACAAUGAUGAUCUGUGCCCACGAGUGGCAAGAGUCAAUGAUUGAUUGGAGAAGCCGAAUGAGAACCUAUCCUUUUCAGGUCCAGUCCAACUGAAAGCUCCACAGGUAUGGAACCAUCACAGCUUGACUUUAUGUGAAUCUCAGCUGCUGGGCAUGGGCUUGGUAUCAAAUUUCUUCCUAGUAAUAGGAAGUCAUAUGAAUCAUUCAAACCAUGACAGCUAAUCUAUGUGAUUGCUUGCAUGUUGCAACAAUUCUUUAUACAUUUGACUUCCACCUGAGCAUGGCAUCCACAAUCUUCUCAGUUAAAGUAAUUAAAAUCUCAAAAGUCAGCAUUGAUCGCAGCAUUGAAGCUUUCAGCUCCCCCCCCUCCCUGUCCUUGUUUGCUCUACAAUCAUUGAUCGAGUUUGGAGCUCAGCAAGAAGAGCACAUGGGUUUCAUUGAAGUGGUGUCCCAAUUAGCUAAGCCUGCUUUGGAUGUACAUGGACAAUGCUUCCACGUGCACAUGCAGUGGUCACUGGCACAUCUUGGAACAGGGAGUAGGUAUCCAAAUCAUCUUCUCCAUCAUUAAUCCAGUGUGAGCAGGGAAGCAGGUGGUCAUCUGCAGAUGAAGUCCAGGAUGAAGGCCACUACAAUAACUCUUACUGGAAGACAAUCAAUCAUGUAUAUAACUGACAAAAUGCUUUAAAGAAGGGGACAUGAAAUUUUGCAAGGACAUCCAUGAGGUACAAUCAUGUAGCAUACUUGAUUUGUACACAUGUACAUGCCAAGAUCAUGCCCAAUUCUAUUCUCUCUUUCUCAGAGAAAAAAAAAAAAGUUCAAAUCAUCUGCAGAACUCUAGUAACAUUUUGAGGAUGGUGGUAGUCAAGGCUUUUAAUGACUUGAUGUUGCAUAUGCAGACUGGUCAUGUACUGCAACACAUCCAGAUUAGUGAAUUCCAUGAAGAAUAAAAUAACCAGUGGAUGUCCCAAUGCUCAAUCUAUGUAGCAUGCAUGCCA
Molecule: non-coding RNA, 1338 nt
Organism: Musa acuminata subsp. malaccensis (wild Malaysian banana)
Lineage: Eukaryota; Viridiplantae; Streptophyta; Magnoliopsida; Zingiberales; Musaceae
Source: RefSeq, a predicted model, not a curated record